GAUGAACGCUGACAGAAUGCUUAACACAUGCAAGUCUUUGGCGAAGCUGUGCUUGCACAGCCUAGCCAAGGCGGACGGGUGAGUAACGCGUAAGGAACUUGCCCUGCAGUCAGGGAUAACAGACGGAAACGACUGAUAAGACCUGGUAAAGUCAGGCGGACUCAUGUCCAGCCUGAUGAAAAGAGAUGCUGCAGGAGAGCCUUGCGUCCUAUUAGCUUGUUGGUGGGGUAACGGCCCACCAAGGCGAUGAUAGGUAUCCGGCCUGAGAGGGUGGACGGCCACAAGGGGACUGAGAUACGGCCCUUACUCCUACGGGAGGCAGCAGUGGGGAAUAUUGGACAAUGGGGGCAACCCUGAUCCAGCAAUUCUGUGUGCACGAUGAAGGUUUUCGGAUUGUAAAGUGCUUUCAGCAGGGAAGAAAAAAAUGACGGUACCUGCAGAAGAAGCGACGGCUAAAUACGUG
Molecule: ribosomal RNA, 463 nt
Filed under: uncultured bacterium
Lineage: Bacteria
Description: partial 16S ribosomal RNA
Rfam family: Bacterial small subunit ribosomal RNA
Source: RNAcentral